This 24-nucleotide microRNA is filed under the name Mus musculus (house mouse). Its description in RNAcentral is "partial Plaur-miR1-5p". The record is from RNAcentral. Lineage: Eukaryota; Metazoa; Chordata; Mammalia; Rodentia; Muridae.
CACGAACCUGGCAGCCAAUCACCA